Non-coding RNA from Cajanus cajan (pigeon pea), 7489 nucleotides. The record is from RefSeq and is a predicted model, not a curated record. NCBI's taxonomy places the organism in Eukaryota, Viridiplantae, Streptophyta, Magnoliopsida, Fabales, Fabaceae.
UACAUAGACAUCCUCUUUUAUAAAUUUUUAAUGAUAAUUUUAAUGACGAUGAAGAAGAGUAUUUAUUUUUUACCUCAAGAAUUCAAUUCACAUGAAUUGAAUACCUAGUUCAUUGACAGUGGUUGUACUAGUCACAUGACUAAAUGCUUAUCAUUUUUUACCUCUAUUGACAAAACAAUUGAAUCGAAAGUCAAGAUGAGAAAUAGUGAAAUUGUGCAAGCCAAUGGAAAAGGAAUAAUUUCUAUUGCAACCAAGAAAGAUAUGAUAAUUGUUAGAGAUGUUCUUUACAUUCUAGAAUUGGAUCAAAAUGUUCUUAGUGUUCCACAAAUGCUAAGGAAUGGAUAUGAAGUUUCUUUUUAAGAGAAUUAUUGUUUUAUCAUAGAUGAACAUGGUUUACAGGUCUCAAAGAUUGAGAUGACCAAAAACAAUUUUUAUUUAAAAUUUGAUUUAGUUGAAGAUCAUGAUUUUAUUGCUAAAAUUGAUGAGAGUAAUGUAUUUGAUAUGACAAAUAUUAGCAAAUGAUAUUUAAAGAUAGGAGAGGAGUUAAAUUGAAUCACUAUUGUUAAAACAAUUGUUUUUAUAUGUUGUACAGCUUUUAUAAAGCUGUUUUUGACCCUAUUUGGCAAAAGGGUUUUAGGUACAUAGGCUGGCAACUUUUCUAAUGGUUAUACCUAUUUUCAUCUUUUGUAUGUAUAUAAAAUACCAGCUGAGUUUGAACUCAGCAGUCUUUUGGCCAAAACCAAAACCUUAAGUUGGUAUCAGAGCGGGUUAGAUCCCGCUCUGUCUCUCCGCUACUUUUUGUCAUCUCCGGCCACUGUCCGCCGUCGGCGGCCACCAUCCGCCGCUGCGUCCGCUGUCGUUCUCACUGGCAAACACGAGGUUUGGUGCGCCUUGAGGAGCCUAGUCCAACCCUGGAAGUGGCGUGCCCUAAUUCCCAGGCACGCUCCCUCACGCGCCGAUCCUCUCCAGUGCCCUGUCCGGCGCGUGAAUCUCACGCGCCACCCUCUGCUUGCCAGAAUCUUGUCGAACCACUCCCAGAAGCUUCGUCGGCCCCUUCCGUUCACGUUUCUACCCUCAGUUACCAAGAUUGACCCACUUAGAAGUGUGAGUAGUGGUGGUCACGUGUCUUCUUCUUCCUUGUUAAUGAAAUGGCCUCUUCUGGUACUCUUACCAUUACCACUGCGAAACUGAACUGGAAAAAUUAUUUAUCUUGGUCUGCUUCGGUGGAGUUGUGGUUUCUUGGUCAAGGAUAUCAUGACCAUUUGGAGAAGGAAGCUGUGAUAUUUCUACCGAACAUAAAUCUCAAUGGCAGAAACUUGACUUCUAACUAUGUGCGCACCUAUGGCAAUCAGUUGAACCUGAAGUGUUAGAGAUACUCGGGACAUUUAAGACAUGUUCAUUUUGGAAGGAAGCCCACAAUAUUUCUGCUAAUGACAUUCAACGUCUUUUCGAUGCAACUCAAAGAGUAGCCUCUCUCAAACAAACCAGCCAUGUUAUGGUUUCACAUGUAGCUAAGGCCAAGGCUGCAAUAGAAGAAUUGAAAAGAUUUCUUGUGGCAGAUUCACUAGAGGGUGUCAACAAAAAACUUGAUAAGUUAUACAUGGUUUUGAUUUUGAGGAGCUUACAUUCAGAUUUUGAUCAUGUACGUGAUCAAAUUUUGGCUGGUGAUCAAGUCCCUUCCAUGGACAACUUAGUCACUAGACUUCUUCGUGUUCCUACCUUGGUGGAAGAUGAAAAAAUAGCUGAAACUAUUGAAACUUCAACAAUGAUAGCAUCUCGUGGAAGAGGAGGACAUAGCAAUCAAGGAGGACGUGGUGGCAGAAGUGGACGUCCCCAAUGUACUUAUUGCAAAAGAAUGGGUCAUACACAAAAAAAUUGCUAUUCCUUGCAUGGUUUUCCUGACAAGGCAGCCUAUAUAUCAAAACCUGAAAAACCAGGUUCCAACUUUUCUGAAGAGGAGUAUCAAGAAUAUCUAAGGCUCAAAUCUGAAAAAUCUAACAGCCAAGCCCAAUCUUCUUCUAUGCCUAGUGUUUCAACAACAUGUAUCUCUCAAUCUGUGGAAGGUCAUGGUCCAUGGAUACUUGACUCAGUUGCUUCUGACCAUAUUUCUGGAACGUGGUACGGGUCGUCUGAUUGGCGAAGGACAUGAAUCACGAGGUCUCUAUUACCUAAAAACCAGUCCACCUGUAUCUUGUUUUGCAGCUGUUGGAGAUCAGCGCAUAUCAAUCAGAAUCUGUUGGAGAUCAGCAUAUAUCAAUAAGAAUAUUCAAUUCUGAUUUGUACAGAUUUAAUGUUAAUAAGAUCAAUUUUAUUUCCCCUCCUUUAAUUAUUUAGAUACAACAUUUAUAGGGAGAAUUAUUUCCCAGAUUUUUAGGGAUAGAUUAGUGUGCAGAUUUAUUCCCUUGUAUUCUAUUUAUACCACUUUUGUAUUUUUUCCAAAUCAGAGAAAUAUACAUUAUAUUGGGGUUGAACAUAGAACUUGAUGAAGUCCAGGGAAGAAUCCUUGGAACCAAACCUCUUAAAACAAUCCGAGAAGUAUUUUCGGAAGUGAGAAGAGAGGAGAGCAGGAGGAAAGUGAUGCUUGGAAAGUCAAGUGCAAUCCCAUCCAUUGAAGGCUCAGCAAUGGCAGCAAGGGGGAACCAGCCUUGUACAUCUCAAAAGAAAAAUCGGCCCUGGUGUGAUCAUUGCAAGAAACUGGGUCACACUAAAGACAACUGUUGGAUCAUUCAUGGCAGACCUUUAGAGGCAAAACAGACCAAAAACCUGGACAGCAGAGGCAACAUAGCUGAGGUAAAUUCUAACCCAUCUCCAUUCAGCAAGGAGCAAAUGGAAGCACUAUAGAAAAUUCUCCAGCAAACAAUUGGUACAGCUACAGUGGCACAAAAAGAUUUUGGAGUCGGGGAAGACGAUUGGCAAUGUUGAGAAUGUGCUGGACUCUACCUCCUCCAAGUUGAAGAGUCAAAAGCGGAACCCAAGGCUAACUCUUGUGCAACUGUACCGCUAAAUAGAAAAAAUUCUGUAAUGUUGUGGCAUUAUCGGUUAGGCCACCCAAAUUUUAUGUACUUGAAAAAAAUGUUUCCCGCAUUAUUAAAAAAAAAUCAAGAGUUUUUUCAAGGUGAAAUAUGCCAAUUGUCCAAACAUACCCGUAACUCCUACCUGCCUCAACCCUAUAAACCUUCUCAACCUUUCUCCCUAAUUCACAAUGAUAUAUGGGGACCAUCACGAGUAAACAAUGUCACUGGAUCAAGAUGGUCUGUCACCUUCAUUGACGAUCACACACGGGUCACUUGGGUUUUCCUAAUGAAGGAGAAAUCAGAAGUUGGCAGAAUAUUUGAGUUGUUUCAUACUAUGGUGGAAACACAAUUUCAAAGCAAAAUUAAGGUGCUUAGAAGUGACAACGGCCGAGAGUAUUAUCACUCUGCACUAAAUUCCUACCUUCAGAAACAUGGAAUCAUACAUCAGAGUUCAUGUGUAGAUACACAUCAGCAGAACGGAUUCGCCGAAAGAAAGAAUAGACAUCUCCUAGAAGUGACCAGAUCUCUCAUGUUAGCUACAAAUGUACCCAACCAAUUUUGGGGAGAAGCUGUCCUCUCUGCAACCUACCUUAUAAACAGAAUGCCCUCCCGAAUCCUCAACUUUAACACCCCUUAUUCUACUCUCCAAACCUCAUACCCUACGAGUCGUAUCCUUACAUCUAUUCCUUUGGAAAAUAUUCGGAUGUUCAGCCUUCAUCCACAACCUCAAUCCUCGUCGCAACAAACUUGACCCGAAAUCCAUCAAAUGCAUCUUUCUCGGCUACUCCCCCACCAAAAGGGGUACAAAUGCUAUUCACCCCAAAACAGGAAAUUCUACCACACCAUGGAUGUCACCUUUUUUGAGAAUCAACCUUAUUACCCAAAAGUUGGCAUUCAAGGGGAGCAGACUUAUCCAAUUGAAGUGGUAGAAUCCCAACUUUUGGGAUUUGAGCUAGCUGAAUCUGUCCCAAAUACAGAGCCAACCAAUAUUGCACCUACACAAGAGGAAAUUACAAUAGAAAAUGCAGAAAACGCAACAGAAUUUGCCCAAAAUGUAGAACCAGCCGAGACUGCACCUGUAGCAGAAACUGAACAGGAAAAUGCAGUAGAAAUUGCACCAGCUGAAGCUAGAGAGAGAAUUGCAUCUCAACAGAAUCAAAGCCCAGCCACACAAGGAGACAACUGGACGACAUACUUCAGGAAGAGAAGGAAGAUAGUAGAGUCCAGCACAGAUCCAAGGCAAAGCCAUGAAUCCAACCAAACUCCAGAAAAUGAGUUUUCCCAAGGUAAUAUCGUUCCUAAUCCUAAACCUAUUGAUGACAUUGACAUUCCUAUUGCCUUAAGAAAAGGGGUGAUAUCUUGCACUCAACACCCCAUUGAGAAAUAUGUGUCCUAUGGAAAAUUGUCACAGGGGUGUAGGUCUUUUGUGGCAGCUCUUGACAGCAAAAAUAUCCCAAGGAAUGUUCAAGAAGCACUCCAACAACCUGAAUGGGCAGCAGCUGUAAUAGAAGAAGUCCAAGCCUUGGUUAAAAAUGGCACGUGGGAAAUCACCACUCUACCGGAAGGAAAGAAAUCGAUUGGAUGCAAGUGGAUAUUCUCCAUCAAAUACAAUGCCGAUGGUAGUAUAAACCGGUACAAAGCUCGACUGGUGGCAAAAGGGUUUACCCAAUCAUAUGGAGUGGACUACGAAGAGACUUUUGCGCCGGUGGCCAAACUCAAUUCAAUUCGAGUCAUACUCUCUUUAGCUGCAAAUUUAGAUUGGCCACUCCAUCAACUAGACAUCAAGAAUGCCUUUCGAAACGGUGAACUUGAAGAAGAAGUCUAUAUGCAAAUUCCCCCGGGACUUGAGUCAUCCAGAACCUCAAGCAUGGUGUGCAAGCUCCGAAAAUCUCUAUAUAGCCUUAAACAAUCUCCGAGAGCGUGGUUUGAUAGAUUGACUCGAGUUGUCAAGGAAGACGGGUUCAACCAAUGCCAAUCAGAUCACACUAUGUUUGUCAAACACUCCGUGGAAGGGAAGGUAGCCUUGUUCAUUGUUUAUGUUGACGAUAUCGUUAUCACAGGAAACGAUUAUGAUCAAAUCAAGCAUCUGAAGGGAAUUUUGGCCAAGGAAUUUGAAGUCAAGGACUUGGGUCAGCUCAAAUAUUUUCUAGGGAUGGAAAUUGCUCGAACAAAGAAUGGUAUUUAUGUAUCACAAAGGAAAUAUACGUUGGACUUACUUCAAGAAACUAGCAUGCUUGGAUGCAAGGCAGCCAAUACUCCCAUUGAACCGGAAAAGAGAAGUGAAGAAGAAAGUCCACCAACUGAUAAAGAUAGAUAUCAAAGCCUAGUUGGGAAGCUAAUCUACCUAACUCACACUAGGCCUGACAUUGGUUUUGCUGUGAGCUUAGCUAGUCGCUAUACAUCUAAUCCAACUGAGGCCCACAUGAAAAUGGCGAACAGAAUCCUCCAAUAUCUCAAAGAUACACCGGGUCGAGGGCUCUACUUUAAAAAGAACUCAAACAAAAGCAUUGAAGUCUACACUGACUCAGAUUGGGCGGGAUGCCCCUCUGACAGAAAAUCAACUACAGGCUAUUGCUCCUUUGUGUGGGGAAACCUGGUGACUUGAAGAAGUAAGAAGCAACUUGUGGUGGCAAGGAGUAGUGCAGAAGCUGAAUUCAGAGCUAUGGCUCAAGGUAUCUGUGAAGGAAUCUGGCUUAAGAGGAUGCUGGAUGAAAUCAGAAUUCCCAUCAAUUACACUAUGAGGAUAUUAUGUGACAACAAGGUUGCCAUAAGCAUUGCGAAGAACCUAGUCCACCAUGAUAGGACAAAGCACGUGGAGAUUGACCGACACUUCAUUAAAGAAAAAAUUGACCACGAUAUUAUAAGUGUUGACCAUGUUCCAUCAUGCAGACAAACAGCAGACAUCCUAACAAAGGCUCUUCCAAGGAACACGUAUGAAAACAUUAGAUCCAAUCUGGGUAUGAUAGACAUCUACCACCCAGAUUGAGGGGGAGUGUUGGAGAUCAGCGCAUAUCAAUUAGAAUCUAUUGGAGAUCAGCAUAUAUCAAUCAGAAUAUUCAAUUCUGAUUUGUACAGAUUUAAUGUUAAUAAGAUCAAUUUUAUUUCCCCUCCUUUAAUUAUUUAGAUACAACAUUUAUAGGGAAAAUUAUUUCCCAGAUUUUUAGGGAUAGAUUAGUGUGCAGAUUUAUUCCCUUGUAUUCUAUUUAUACCACUUUUGUAUUUUUCCCAAAUUAGAGAUAUAUACAUUUAUUUUUCCGCAGCAACCUCAACACCAAAGCUUUUGCAUGACUGUUUGGGUCACCCAAGUUUAGCAAAAUUGAAGAUAAUGGUUCCUAGUCUCAAAUCACUUCCAGUUUUGAAAUGUGAAUCGUGUCAAUUAGGAAAACAUGUUAGGUCAUCAUUUCCUAAACAAACUGAACAAAGAUGUAACUCAGCUUUUUCUACCAUUCAUUCAGACAUUUAGGGACCAAGCCGUGUCACAUCUUUUGGUUUUAGAUAUUUUGUAACCUUCAUUGAUGAAUUCUCUCGAUGUACUUGGAUUUAUCUAAUGAAAGAUCGAUGUGAACUUUUAUCUAUAUUCAUGUCUUUCUUUAAUGAGAUUAGGAACCAAUUUGGCAAGAUAAUUAAAAUCUGACAAUGCUAUAGAAUAUCUCUACUGAACUUUUUUCCUUCUUAUCCUCACAAGGUAUUUUACAUCAAUCUAUAUGCCCUCACACACCACAACAAAAUGGCAUAGCAGAGAGGAAGAAUAGACAUCUUAUUGAAAUUGCACGCUCCCUAAUGUUUAACAUGAAUGUUCCCGUGCACCAUUGGGGAGAUGCAGUCCUCACUGCUUGUUUUUUAAUAAAUAAGAUGUCAUCUUCCUCUCUUGAAAAUCAUUUUCCUCACUCUAUCAUUUUUCCAAAUGACCCUUUGUUUCAUGUCUCUCCUAGGGUGUUUGGUUGUACUUGUUUUGUUCAUAAUGUUUCUCCAGGUUUAGACAGACUUUCUGCAAGGGCCAUUAAAUGUGUUUUUAUGGGAUAUUCUCGCCUUCAAAAGGGAUACAAAUGUUAUUCUCCAGCUACCAAGAGGUAUUACAUGUCUACUGAUGUUACUUUCUUUGAGGACAUACCUUUUUUUUCACCCUCCAUAGACAAUCCUGUUUCCAUUCAACAGGUUCUUCCUAUCCUAUUCUCUGAUCCAAUCAUGGUUUCCAAUCCAUCUGACACCAGCCAAGAUGAGGAUCAAUCUCAAUCUCAUACUCAUCAUUCAACUGAAGAUUUUCGUGAUUCUGAUCCUUCCCCAUCAACUUCCCAUACCACGAGUCUUUCAUCCUCCACGCCAUCCCAUGAUUCCAAUUUAGAUUGGCCCAUUGUUAUUCAAAAAGGUAUGGAUGAUGAAGAUAACGAUAACGUGCCACUACAUGAGAUGUUAGAUGACAAACUGAGAGUUCGCUAUUUCAAGGGAUAUCUUGCAUCAGUUGCUCAAGCUAUAAA